RNAcentral lists this ribosomal RNA (254 nucleotides) under uncultured bacterium. Its description in RNAcentral is "partial 16S ribosomal RNA". It matches the Rfam family "Bacterial small subunit ribosomal RNA", at positions 524 to 776 of the family's 1533-position model. The record is from RNAcentral.
UACGUAGGGUGCAAGCGUUAAUCGGAAUUACUGGGCGUAAAGCGUGCGCAGGCGGUUUUGUAAGUUUGUCGUGAAAGCCCCGGGCUCAACCUGGGAAUUGCGAUGAAGACUGCAAGGCUUGAAUCUGGCAGAGGGGGGUAGAAUUCCACGUGUAGCAGUGAAAUGCGUAGAGAUGAUGGAGGAACACCGAUGGCGAAGGCAGCCCCCUGGGUCAAGAUUGACGCUCAUGCACGAAAGCGUGGGGAGCAAACAGG